RNAcentral lists this ribosomal RNA (408 nucleotides) under uncultured bacterium. RNAcentral describes it as "partial 16S ribosomal RNA". It matches the Rfam family "Bacterial small subunit ribosomal RNA", at positions 28 to 526 of the family's 1533-position model. The record is from RNAcentral.
GACGAACGCUGGCGGCGUGCUUAACACAUGCAAGUCGAACGCAGUGGCGAACGGGUGAGUAACGCGUUAUCAACCUGCCCUUCAGAGGGGGACAACAGUUUAAAACGACUGCUAAUACCGCAUCCUGAAGGAGGGGAUUGCGUUUGAUUGGCUAGUUGGGGGGGUAACGGCCCACCAAGGCGAUGAUCAGUAGGCGGGCUGAGAGGAGGGACGGGCACAACGGGAAUGAGACAAGGGCCAGAAUUCUACGGGGGGGAGGAAGGGGGGAACUUCCGGAAGUGACGAAAGGCUGGCGUAGCAACGGCGCGUGAGUGAUGAAGGCCUUCGGGUUGUAAAGCUCUGUUAAUCGGGACGCGGUACCGGAAUAGAAAGCCACGGCUAACUACGUGCCAGCAGCCGCGGUAAUUC